This 507-nucleotide ribosomal RNA is filed under the name uncultured bacterium. Its description in RNAcentral is "bacterial SSU rRNA". It matches the Rfam family "Bacterial small subunit ribosomal RNA", at positions 791 to 1304 of the family's 1533-position model. The record is from RNAcentral.
UAGUCUACGCCGUAAACGAUGGAUACUAGUUGUUUGGAUUUCGGUCUGAGUGACUAAGCGAAAGUGAUAAGUAUCCCACCUGGGGAGUACGUUCGCAAGAAUGAAACUCAAAGGAAUUGACGGGGGCCCGCACAAGCGGUGGAGCAUGUGGUUUAAUUCGAUGAUACGCGAGGAACCUUACCAGGGCUUAAAUGUAGUAUGACAGACUGAGAGAUCGGUUUUUCUUCGGACAUAUUACAAGGUGCUGCAUGGUUGUCGUCAGCUCGUGCCGUGAGGUGUCAGGUUAAGUCCUAUAACGAGCGCAACCCCUGUUGUUAGUUGCCAGCGAGUAAUGUCGGGAACUCUAGCAAGACUGCCGGUGCAAACCGCGAGGAAGGUGGGGAUGACGUCAAAUCAUCACGGCCCUUACGUCCUGGGCCACACACGUGCUACAAUGGUAGGUACAAUUAGAUGCAACCUCGUGAGAGUGAGCAAAACUGAAAAACCGGUCUCAGUUCGGAUUGUAGG